RNAcentral lists this small RNA (570 nucleotides) under Caenorhabditis elegans. Its description in RNAcentral is "Unclassified non-coding RNA CC4.4". Lineage: Eukaryota; Metazoa; Nematoda; Chromadorea; Rhabditida; Rhabditidae. The record is from RNAcentral.
GGAAUACCGUUCCGAAAAGACGCUGGAACAACUCACCAAACUCGUUCCACCAACGUGUCACGUGCUCCGUGAUGGAAAAGAGGCAAUGAUGUUGGCUCGGGAGCUUGUACCCGGUGAUAUUGUACUUCUGAACACGGGAGAUCGGAUCCCGUCCGAUUUACGAAUCGCCGAGAGCUUCUCACUUCAAAUCGACGAGAGCUCACUGACCGGAGAAACUGAGCCGAAGCAUAAGGUUUGUAAUUUGUAGUUUGUGGUUUGUAGUUUAUAGUCUAGACUCCAACAACCUCUUUCCAGGAAACCCGUUCAGUGCCGGCCGCAUCUGCCACCGGAUCCGAUGUUGAACAUCUCACAUGCAUCGCCUUCAUGGGAACUCUUGUCUGCGCUGGCCGUGGCCGAGGAAUCGUCAUUUCGACGGCCGCCAAUUCACAGUUUGGAGAAGUGGUAAAGAUGAUGAUGGGUGAGGAGUCUCCGAAGACUCCACUGCAAAAGAGUAUGGAUGAUCUGGGAAAGCAGCUUUCGAUCUACUCAUUUGGCGUCAUCGCCGUUAUUUUCCUAAUCGGAAUGUUUCAG